This 253-nucleotide ribosomal RNA is filed under the name uncultured bacterium. RNAcentral's name for it is "partial 16S ribosomal RNA". It matches the Rfam family "Bacterial small subunit ribosomal RNA", at positions 524 to 776 of the family's 1533-position model. The record is from RNAcentral.
UACGGGGGGGGCAAGCGUUGUUCGGAACUACUGGGCGUAAAGGGCUCGUAGGCGGCCAACUAAGUCGGACGUGAAAUCCCCAGGCUCAACCUGGGAACUGCGUCCGAUACUGGAUGGCUUGAAUCCGGGAGAGGGAUGCAGAAUUCCAGGUGUAGCGGUGAAAUGCGUAGAUAUCUGGAGGAAUACCGGUGGCGAAGGCGGCAUCCUGGACCGGCAUUGACGCUGAGGAGCGAAAGCCAGGGGAGCAAACGGG